CGGUUGAUCCUGCCGGACCCUAUUGCUAUCGGGGUAAGACUAAGCCAUGCAAGUUGUGCGCUCCCAAGCUAUUGUGGGAGAGCAGCAAACGGCUCAGUAACACGUAGUCAAUCUACCCUUGGGACGGGUAUAACCCCGGGAAACUGGGGAAAAUACCCGAUAGGUGAAAAACGCCUGGAAUGGGUUUUCACCGUAAGAUAUCAGGAACAUGAUCCUGAUAUCGCCCAAGGAUGAGACUGCGUCCGAUCAGGUUGUUGGUGGGGUAACGGCCCACCAAGCCUAUAACCGGUACGGGCCCUGAGAGGGGGAGCCCGGAGAUGGGAACUGAGACAAGGUCCCAGGCCCUACGGGGCGCAGCAGGCGCGAAAACUCCACAAUGCGCGGAAGCGCGAUGGGGUUACCCCGAGUGCCAUCCUAUGAGGAUGGCUUUUCCCCAGCGUAAGGAGCUGGGGGUAAUAAAGGGGGGGCAAGACUGGUGUCAGCCGCCGCGGUAAUACCAGCCCCCUGAGUGAUAGGGAUGAUUAUUUAGCCUAAAGCGUCCGUAGCCGGCCUAGCGAGUCUCCCGUGAAAUCCAACGACUCAAUCGUUGGGCGCGCGGGAGAUACUGCUAGGCUAGAGGGCGGGAGAGGUUGACGGUAUUCCAGGGGUAGGGGUGAAAUCCUAUAAUCCCUGGAAGACCACCAGUGGCGAAGGCGGUCAACCAGAACGCGCCUGACGGUGAGGGACGAAAGCUGGGGGAGCGAACCGGAUUAGACACCCGGGUAGUCCCAGCCGUAAACGAUGCGGGCUAGGUGUUGGAGCAGCUACGAGCUGCUCCAGUGCCGCAGAGAAGUCGUUAAGCCCGCCGCUUGGGAAGUACGGCCGCAAGGCUGAAACUUAAAGGAAUUGGCGGGGGAGCAC
RNAcentral lists this ribosomal RNA (900 nucleotides) under uncultured archaeon. Its description in RNAcentral is "bacterial SSU rRNA". It matches the Rfam family "Archaeal small subunit ribosomal RNA", at positions 5 to 879 of the family's 1478-position model. The record is from RNAcentral.